GGAAGCUUCACAAGGGCCAAAGCUUUUUGCUGGAAUAUUCUGAGGGAAGACAACUUCAUUGAGAACUCGUUGAUCAGUCAGGAAACUCAGGCAAUGCUCUGCUAGUAAUGCUCUCCAAAGAACAAAGGCAACACUGCAUCUCUAGAAUUGAUAGAAUUAACAUGAUGUACUUUCAAUUUCGUAAAUCCUUCUUAGUUUGAUUCAGAUCUUGAGCAAUUCACAGUAAUUCUAAUGCCAUUUCUUCCACUUUGGUUUUUGAUUACUCUUGAUUUCCAGCGGUGAGCAUUGUACCUGAGUUGCAGAGUGGUACUACAAAGGAAUAUUGUUAGCUAAGCCAAAUAAAGGAUGGAUUAGCCAAAGCAAAAUGGUUUUGAAAAUCUCAUGAGGCUAUUUGACAGCAUGUUCAAAAGCAAAAUGUCAUUUGUAUUAUAACACAUCCUGUCUUCAUUUGCUCUACUGAUUUGGUUGCAGGAGCAAAUGUACCUCAUUUGCAGUUAAGAAGGAUUGCAUAUACAGGCAACAUCUGCAAAAGUGAAAUGUGGAACUUUGUUUCAGUUGAAGCUGGUACUAGCAAACAUCAACCAUGUCCGAUCACUUAAUUUAAAUCUCUUAAUUGUCUACUAGAUUAACUGACCUAAUAGAGAUUCUGCACGAAUAAUACACAAUAAGAAUUAAAAAUACGUUAUUCUGUAUUCUU
RNAcentral lists this long non-coding RNA (697 nucleotides) under Gallus gallus (chicken). RNAcentral describes it as "long non-coding RNA NONGGAT012012". The record is from RNAcentral. Lineage: Eukaryota; Metazoa; Chordata; Aves; Galliformes; Phasianidae.